AGAGAGUCAGAGAGAGAGAGAGAGAGAGAGAGAGAGAGGUCAAAGAGAGAGAGAGAGAGAGAGAGGUCAAAGAGGAAAAGAGAGAGAGAGAGAGAGAGAGGUCAAAGAGGAAAAGAGAGAGAGAGAGAGAGAGAGAGAGAGAGAGAGAGAGAGAGAGAGAGAGAGAGAGGUCAAAGAGGAAGAGAAGAGAGAGAGGUCAAAGAGGAAGAGAAGAGAGAGAGGUCAAAGAGGAAGAGAAGAGAGGAGGGAGAUGGAGAGAGAGAAGACAUCAGAUUUCACACAUGACUAUUAGAUAAGUGCAUCUUUCUCUCCAAAUCCUCAUUAUAGCAUUAUGUUGUGAGCUGGAGUUAAAUCCUCAUUAUAGCAUUACGUUGUGAG
This is a long non-coding RNA of Oncorhynchus tshawytscha (Chinook salmon), 378 nucleotides long. The record is from Ensembl. NCBI's taxonomy places the organism in Eukaryota, Metazoa, Chordata, Actinopteri, Salmoniformes, Salmonidae.